RNAcentral lists this long non-coding RNA (684 nucleotides) under Aquilegia coerulea. Its description in RNAcentral is "long non-coding RNA (ACOE_LNC001089)". The record is from RNAcentral. Lineage: Eukaryota; Viridiplantae; Streptophyta; Magnoliopsida; Ranunculales; Ranunculaceae.
AUAAUGCCAUACCAUGAUUCCCUUCAGAUGUUUUAGGUGAUUCUUGACCAUUAGUAGAAUCUGACAAAAUGGUACAAGAAUCAAAACCAUUAAUCCGAAUAGAUUCAGUUAGCUGCUCUCCUUGAACUGCUAUUCCCAAUUUGCGAACGUUAUCUUCGAUACCUAAUACAGAACAAAGCUGAUAUAGCUAAUAAUACUCCAAUUAUAACUCCAAUUGAAAUCCCAAUUAUCAAUCCUUGUGAUACCCCUUUCAUUUCUUUUCAAUUCUUAUUAUUCCAAGUUACCUACAUCAAUCAAAUAAUCCAUCAGUACUCUCCAUCUCAACUACAUUAACUCAAAUUAAACUCUAUGAAUCAACUUGUUAUAGAUUGAGUUAAAUAGAUAACAUGAUUAAAGCUAGAAAAUGUUUAGAUCAAGUUAGAUUAAACAAAUAGAUAGAUCUAUAGAUAAAUCAAACAUAAUAAAACCCUAAAGAAUGUAGAGAUUAUGAAAACUUACGGAAGAAUUCGUCAAACGAUUGGACUUGAAAUUGAAAUUGAAGAAACUAAAGAAAACAUCGAACAAGAAGAAGAAUCGAAAGUGUAGAGAGAGAAACAAGAGUACAUUUAAUAUGGAACAGAAGUAUGAGUUUGUCAGUGAAACUCAUGGAAGUUGAGAGAGAGAGAGAGAUGAAUAAGAUCUGUU